UCGGGAAUUUUGGGCAAUGGGCGAAAGCCUGACCCAGCAACGCCGCGUGAAGGAUGAAGUCUCUCGGGAUGUAAACUUCGUAAGAAUAGGAAGAAUAAAUGACGGUACUAUUUGUAAGGUCCGGCUAACUACGUGCCAGCAGCCGCGGUAAUACGUAGGGACCAAGCGUUGUUCGGAUUUACUGGGCGUAAAGGGCGCGUAGGCGGCGUGGUAAGUCACUUGUGAAAUCUCCGAGCUUAACUCGGAACGGUCAAGUGAUACUGCUGUGCUAGAGUACAGAAGGGGCAAUCGGAAUUCUUGGUGUAGCGGUGAAAUGCGUAGAUAUCAAGAGGAACACCUGAGGUGAAGACGGGUUGCUGGGCUGAUACUGACGCUGAGGCGCGAAAGCUAGGGUAGCAAACGGGGAUUAGAUACCCCCGUAGUCCCUGAGCGGGCUGGCAAGGCGCAU
This 448-nucleotide ribosomal RNA is filed under the name uncultured bacterium. RNAcentral's name for it is "bacterial SSU rRNA". It matches the Rfam family "Bacterial small subunit ribosomal RNA", at positions 355 to 825 of the family's 1533-position model. The record is from RNAcentral.